GUGGGGAAUAUUGGACAAUGGGCGCAAGCCUGAUCCAGCCAUGCCGCGUGAGUGAUGAAGGCCUUAGGGUUGUAAAGCUCUUUUGUCCGGGAAGAUAAUGACUGUACCGGAAGAAUAAGCCCCGGCUAACUUCGUGCCAGCAGCCGCGGUAAUACGAAGGGGGCUAGCGUUGUUCGGAAUCACUGGGCGUAAAGCGCACGUAGGCGGACCAUUAAGUCAGGGGUGAAAGCCUGGAGCUCAACUCCAGAACUGCCUUUGAUACUGAUGGUCUCGAGUAGGGAAGAGGUUGGUGGAACUGCGAGUGUAGAGGUGAAAUUCGUAGAUAUUCGCAAGAACACCGGUGGCGAAGGCGGCCAACUGGUCCAUUACUGACGCUGAGGUGCGAAAGCGUGGGGAGCAAACAGGAUUAGAAACCCGGGUAGUCC
This 425-nucleotide ribosomal RNA is filed under the name uncultured bacterium. RNAcentral's name for it is "partial 16S ribosomal RNA". It matches the Rfam family "Bacterial small subunit ribosomal RNA", at positions 354 to 796 of the family's 1533-position model. The record is from RNAcentral.